UCUUUCCUCUCUUGACAUCUAUGAUGACUCCAACCGUUGAUAAUAAUGGUCUACUUAGGAGGAUUGGGAUUUUGUUGUCUUCUUUAAUGUCCAUGACAAUAAAAUCUGUUGGAAUAUAGAGUUGGUCAAUCCUAACUAUAAUGUCUUUUAAUAUGCCUAUUGGAUAUUUAACGGAUCUAUCGGCUAAUUGAAGGGAUGUCCUAGUUGGUUGCAUUUCUCCUAGGUUUAACCCAUUACAAACGGCUAAAGUCAUUAAGCUUACAUUGGC
RNAcentral lists this long non-coding RNA (268 nucleotides) under Lathyrus oleraceus (garden pea). RNAcentral describes it as "Pisum sativum (pea) long non-coding RNA (PSAT_LNC007368)". The record is from RNAcentral. Lineage: Eukaryota; Viridiplantae; Streptophyta; Magnoliopsida; Fabales; Fabaceae.